AGCAGGAUGUCUUAUUAUUGCUCUGGCAAUAAUGAUGUUCCAGGUUCAACUGCAGCCCCAAGGCCAGCCAGCAAAAAGCAUUUCCACGAGGAGCUUGCCCUGCAGAUGGUGGUCAGCACUGGGAUGGUGAGAGAAACUGUCUUCAAGUAUGCUUGGUUCUUCUUUGAGCUGCUGGUGAAAAGCAUGGCCCAGUAUGUACAUAACCUGGACAAACGGGACAGUUUUCGGAGGACUUGGUUUUCUGACCGCUUCAAAGAUGACAUAACUACUAUUGUUAAUGUGGUCACCUCGGAGAUUGCAGCCCUGCUAGUGAAACCUCCGAAGGUAACUGUGUUUCUUAACUUUCUAAAUUGUUUACCUUAAACAUGUUACUU
This 374-nucleotide long non-coding RNA is filed under the name Ictidomys tridecemlineatus (thirteen-lined ground squirrel). RNAcentral describes it as "lncRNA (ENSSTOG00000031170.1)". The record is from RNAcentral. Lineage: Eukaryota; Metazoa; Chordata; Mammalia; Rodentia; Sciuridae.